AUGCGGGCGUUCGCCGCCCGUGACUCUGCGAGAAGUCCAUUGAACCUUAUCAUUUAGAGGAAGGAGAAGUCGUAACAAGGUUUCCGUAGGUGAACCUGCGGAAGGAUCAUUG
RNAcentral lists this ribosomal RNA (112 nucleotides) under Masdevallia civilis. Its description in RNAcentral is "partial 18S ribosomal RNA". It matches the Rfam family "Eukaryotic small subunit ribosomal RNA", at positions 1722 to 1831 of the family's 1831-position model. Lineage: Eukaryota; Viridiplantae; Streptophyta; Magnoliopsida; Asparagales; Orchidaceae. The record is from RNAcentral.